AAUUCUCAAACCUUCUUGGUCUCUCAAUCAAGAUGGCUUUGGACUUGGAGGCAUUUGCUGGCUUUGUGAAAAGCCAGCUCCUCUUAAAUGCAUUAGUGGGGUCCCCUUUGCCAAUCCUGAGGUGUGAUAAGUCACUUCUACAUCUUAGGAUUUGCUCUGUUCCUUGGGAACCCACUUCUAACUGUCUCACGGGAGACAUCGUUCAAGCUUGCUUGACCCACAAA
RNAcentral lists this unclassified non-coding RNA (224 nucleotides) under uncultured Russula. RNAcentral describes it as "sequence contains ITS2". Lineage: Eukaryota; Fungi; Basidiomycota; Agaricomycetes; Russulales; Russulaceae. The record is from RNAcentral.